ACGCCGCGUUAAACCGGAAAAGAAAUCUACUGCCAGAGUUCAUCCCAAAGAGGGUAAAUCUCGACGAACGAGUGAUAACAAAUUCCCAAACGGGACCAUCACACCAAAGAGACACAGCCUAUCUGAAUGGCUUUGACACGUAGUUGGCUGAGCAGGUUGCCCUUUAUCCCAACCUGUACGAUCAUGAGUUUUACAAGAACAAACGGAUUAACGCUUGUUAUCGUGGCAAGAAAUCGCAAACAAGCUUGUGGAACCGUUUUAUCCGAGCCAGGAAAAAGGCGGAAUGCGGUUCCUCGAACACAUCACUGUUGUUAGAGUCGCUGUCAUGGCUGGUGGGCUUUGUUAAAUACAAGACGACGGAGGCAGAAAUUCAGAGGAUGUCUUUAACCCAACCUGCAAAAAUCCAAAUAGACGUUAUGAGAUUGUGUGAAGAGGUGCAACAUUGUCUUUACAAUGGGUCCUUAAUACAUAAUAGAGACGUGGAAAAGGACAGCAAUUUGUGGAGGGAAAUUGCAAAGAAUUUGGGAGUGAGUGAAAGUGUUUGUUGAAUAAAGUGGAAAUCUUUAAGAGACAAAUUCGUGAAGACGAGGAAGAGGCUGCAGCUGAAGAGAAGAAACUGUGCAACCUUGCUUCUGCUCCCCAUAUAUAUUCCUUGAUGGGCUGGCUACAGUCACCCUGCUCCAGAAAACUGUUGAUCUCAGCGAUUCACCGCACUGCUCAACAGCAUUGCCUACAGAGGGGUUGCCAUCUCCACUCAAUCCCUCCUUCUCAGCAUCAACAACUGUCAUGAAAAAAUCCACAGCCACUGAGGAUUUUAUUCAAAACGAUCUCCAGGAGAUUAAGAAGAUUAUUAAGAAGGCCAAAGGUCCAAGGGGUGCAUUUGUUUGAACUGUAGUAUUAAUGAGCUUCAACAUUGCUGGUUCUGCUCAUGUAAUUUGAUAAAUAAGGAUAUAAAUAUAUAUUUUGUAUUGUUAUUAUUUCAUGAAUUUAUCUUACCAUUUCUGUCUCGGCUGAAUUCUCUCUCGAGGCCUGCGUGCAAUGAACAAGGGCAACUCUGAAGUAGCUUUUGACACACAGACUGUGCUGACAGUAACAACUGCAGUGUCCAUAAACAUUUAAAAGCGUGGUCACAAUUGAGCUCUUGCACCAUAAGUGGAACAUGUUUGUAUAGCUGCGUCUGUGUGGUUUAACAUGUGGGGAGAAGCUUCUACAAAUCUGUGCCACUACAUGGUGAAAUUUUUGUGGCAUAUCAAUACAGCCAUCGUAUUGUGUUAAUUUGCAAUAUUGUAUCAAUACAGGGACACCAGAUAUCAAUAUUUCAUUAAAUAAAUUAGAAUACUGUAGAAAUACAGUGAAAAGAGCACAAGUGCACCAAUAUCCUAGGAUAGCGUUAGCCGAGCAAACUUGGAUUAAAUCGUCGGAACUGAAAAAUCACCCAAUACUGAGUCGACGAUUUCAUUCUAUUUAACUGCGGAUGUCAAGAAUUUAUGACAGUGUUGGUUAUGCUUGGCUCUUGAUGGAGGCGUCGCACUUUCUCCUUCUCCCUCUCCCUUAUCUUUCCUGCUUGGCAUCUCAUGUCUUUUGUAUAGUCUCGCUUAUUCUCUAACCCUUCUGAUUCUGAUUCUAAGAGAGUCUCCCAGACUUGUUCUCUAAAAACCUAAAGAAGAAUUAUGAAUUUGAUCAACUGGCCCCUUAAUGCAACUGACACCCUCCUGGGCUUGGGAGAGCCUAAUUGUCCCUCAGAGACGUUUGCUGCUGGAUACUCGAUGGUCAGUUGCGUCGUGUGUCUGGCGACACUCUCGAUGGAGGACAUUGAACGACAUCUACCAAUUCGGAACCACGAUAACAGAGUUCUGGCUGAUUGGAGCUCGGACCUGGCUUAUCAAAGAACAAGAAGCGGCUACAGCUGUUCAAAAUCCCACAAGGCUGGCCAACAUGAUAGGCGAUGGGCAGGGCUGUGAGUACUCAGACUGUGUUUUUGAACGCAAUAUGGAUAAGAUCAUGGAGAAGCUCGUGGCUCUGCUAUAUGGAUAACAUCUUGAAGAAGAACAAUAGGAAUUGAGAGACCUGUGACCAGUGACGGACAUUAGACCAACAGUAAAACUGGAUGCAGUUUGUUCGCACUAACAAAACAGCUACCAUCUUCAUCUCAUGCGGCCCUCUGGCGCCAGCUGGAUGCUCAAGGCAAAAGCUGAUGGGAAUAACAAUUCUCCCUUAGAUAAGAAGACUGUGUUGUGACUUUUUCCCUCCUCGUUCAAGGCCACGUGCGUCGACCGAAGACUGUUGACUUUUGCCUAACCGGGUGACGGGACACUUUCUCUCGGCUAAACACAGAACACACACAUAUGCAUGUACACUGGCACAGACCUACACCCUGUUGGAGCUCAGUCGGGGGGGAGUUAUUAUUUUCUCCUCGUCUUUCCUCAUGUUGCGCAUUUUCCAUUGUUAUACCUCUCUGACCUGUCUUCCCCAUGUGAUGUUGUAAUGUAUGUAUGUAUGGUCGGAAGGGUAAGAUGACGCUGGCAAAGGUCGGCAGCCUAACCCAACAAAUUUCCCACGUGUGGGACUAAUAAAGGUUAUCUUAUCUUAUCAUUUUGCAGCGUUAAAGUAAGUGAUUAAAGUAAGAAAACAUUAUCUUAUUGGAUAAAAUGCAUAUUGACGAAGUUUUGAGGGCAUAAUUUGCAGUUGGAAAAAAAGGUGAUAAAUCGCAGUAUUCAUUAUUGCAGAACUCUCAGUAUAGUGCUGUAAGGUGAUAAUGUGGUGUUUGUCAGAUUUCCGUCUUCCCCUGUCCUCCCUGAACCUCUUGGUUCCGCCUUUCAGGCUGAUGUCAGCGUGUAUGUGGCAGGUUGCUCAGGAGAGAAAAGUAGGGGAGUAUGAAAACUGUCCAAAUUCAUCUCACUGGUGUCAGAGAUGAUCCCAGACCUCCUGGGCUACAAACGUAAGACUCAGCUGAUCCUUGGACUGAGAGCCCAGCUCAUUCUUGAAAUAGUGAAGAAGACGAAUGAUGGCGACAGUUUCCAGCAGAAUACAACAAACCACGUGGAUGCAGAAGUAAGAUGCAGUGUAAUAAGCAUCUUAGUUUGACAUGUUUUGCACUAUAAAAGUGAUUUUGCUGUCAAAUUUAGAUGCUGAUAUUACUGUUUAUUGUAUGUAAAUAUACCUUUUGGCUUUGUGAGAGUAACAAGAUGAAGAGGUGGAGAUUUCAAAGUCACCAUUGGUGGAUCUCAUUCAAAUGCUACUUCGAGAUCAGUCAUUGGGAGUUCUUCUAUCGACUGGAAGAGUUGUGCCCAGUGCCAAGUGUCUCAGGUAUGCUGCGGGGUAAUGAAAAAGAAGAAAAGAGGUGUACUUUAAUGCAAAUGCUGUUCAGUUAUUUAAAAAAAACCCUGACUCACAAUGCGACAAAAUGUUCAGUAGUUGUACAGGACUGAAAAAACACAUGUUUAUGCACACAGGAGAGAAGCCUCACAGCUGUGUAACAUGUCACAAGACGUUUGCUCAGAAAUCCAACCUGAAAAUACAUCUCAAAGUUCACAAGAACAUCUAGCAAAAUGGCUGUGGGAGCUUUUGGAGACGCAGUUUGCUACAGAUAUGGUUCAUUUGAGUGUCAGGACAAGUUUUGAUGCUAAAAAUAAUAAUUUGCAUUUGGACAUAUAGUGCAUUAAAAUGUGGAUUUUUCCUGUGCUGUCCUGUGUUGAAUUUGUGUGCUAAUAUUGCACGUUACUGUAAACGGGUGUUCUGGAUGACCCAAAUUAAGAUGUCCAUGUCCUAAUUCAUGGACAUAAGAAAUUUUGAGUUAGACUGUCCUGUCACCCAAACACUUAUAUAUGAGCUGUUGGUGCUGUGAGAAUGGUCGUCACUUGAUAAAUGCACUAGAAAGAUGUAAUAUUUGCAUUUUUAUGGAAUUAAUGGAAUGAAAGAAAGCUUAGUUUCCUAAUGUUUUUACCAGCCUCUGUUGUGAUGCCUAGUCUGUUGUUUUCUGCAUUAAAAGUUUCCAUCCCGUCCACAGUAACAAGUCAGCGAGUAUCAUUUAAUGCUGAUGAUGGUGCAGUAGAUGGAAAAACAAAAGAAUUAAAAAAUCACUACAGAAAUGCAUUUUUAAAUGCAUAUUAAACAUGAUACGCCUAAAUCACUUGUCUGUGUAUAUGUUAAUAUGUGUUUUAAGCUCUUUAGUCUUUAUUUUGAUAGGACAGUGGAGAGAAUGCUGGUAAGCCGAGACAAAGACCAGGGGAAAACACGCAGAAAAUGGAUUUGGGGCAGGUUCAAAGCCUGGUCUCUGCAUCUGUGGGUGCAUGCUUAACCAAGUAAGGUCAAGCAGGCACCUACAGACGUGAGUCUUCACAGUGUACUCGACAACAGCUCUUAUAGCUUGACCAGGAUAUUAACUGAAGCUUAUCUACUAUUAUUCAACACAUUUGUUUGAAACAAGGAUUCAUGUGCACCUCCAUACAACUCUCAUCCUGAACAAUAGUGUAUUUUUAAGACUUUAGUUUGAAAGUUUCCACUGAGGAUUG
Haplochromis burtoni (Burton's mouthbrooder) is the source of this 4511-nucleotide long non-coding RNA. RefSeq lists it as uncharacterized. Lineage: Eukaryota; Metazoa; Chordata; Actinopteri; Cichliformes; Cichlidae. The transcript has 3 exons. The record is from RefSeq and is a predicted model, not a curated record.